UUGACCUCAGAUCGGGUGGGACUACCC
RNAcentral lists this ribosomal RNA (27 nucleotides) under salal root associated fungus UBCtra14426. RNAcentral's name for it is "partial 28S ribosomal RNA". The record is from RNAcentral. Lineage: Eukaryota; Fungi; Basidiomycota; Agaricomycetes; Sebacinales; Sebacinaceae.